This 463-nucleotide long non-coding RNA is filed under the name Apteryx rowi (Okarito brown kiwi). RNAcentral describes it as "lncRNA (ENSARWG00000006034.1)". Lineage: Eukaryota; Metazoa; Chordata; Aves; Apterygiformes; Apterygidae. The record is from RNAcentral.
CUCCCAGUACAUCCCAGUUCCUCCCGCAGCCCAGCCCCCGAAGGAGAAGGACGGCCGCAAGGCGGAGGCCGAGGAGGGCCCGGACGCCGGGGCCCCCGCCCGGAGCCGGGGGGAGCAAGAGGGGAAGAGGAAGGCGCCCCCCACGGCGGAGAGGGCGGCGAAGCAGGCGCGGGGGGGCCCCCCCACCGGCCCCCACUGGCUGCGGCGGGACCUGCGGGUGCGCUGCGUCGACAGGACCCACGGCGCCGGGCGCUACUACAACUGCAAGAUGGUGGUGGAGGACGUGGUGGCGCAGGACGCCUGCGUGUGCCGCACGGACGAGGGGCUCCUGGUGGAGGGUGAGUGGGGCGGGGGCGUUCCGGCGCCCCCCCCGGGGCCCCGGCAGCCGCCCCCGCCCCCCCCUGAGGCCACUGCCGCCCCCCAGGCCUGCGGGAAGCCAUGCUGGAGACGGUGAUCCCCCGCG